RNAcentral lists this ribosomal RNA (366 nucleotides) under uncultured bacterium. Its description in RNAcentral is "bacterial SSU rRNA". It matches the Rfam family "Bacterial small subunit ribosomal RNA", at positions 29 to 425 of the family's 1533-position model. The record is from RNAcentral.
ACGAACGCUGGCGGCAGGCCUAACACAUGCAAGUCGAACGCCCUAGCAAUAGGGAGUGGCAGACGGGUGAGUAACGCGUGGGAACCUUCCCUGUGGUGCGGAAUAACUCGCCGAAAGGCGUGCUAAUACCGCAUAAGCCCGCAAGGGGAAAGAUUUAUCGCCAUAGGAUGGGCCCGCGUAGGAUUAGCUAGUUGGUGAGGUAAUGGCUCACCAAGGCGACGAUCCUUAGCGGUUUGAGAGAAUGACCAGCCACACUGGGACUGAGACACGGCCCAGACUCCUACGGGAGGCAGCAGUGGGGAAUCUUGGACAAUGGGCGCAAGCCUGAUCCAGCCAUGCCGCGUGAGUGACGAAGGCCUUCGGUUG